GUACCGGAAGUGCUAGCCACAGCGACUUCAGGUAGUCUCGGUCUUAGCGGAUUCCGCGGACUUUCUUGUCUUUCUGCGUACUGCACUAACUGAGCGACCAAUUGAUACCUAAGUUUAGCUGAACUUUUUGUUGAAUUAAUUAAAACUGUUUUGAAAUCUAUUCUGUAAGAGCCUGAGAAAAAUUGCGGCCACAGAAGCUGUUUUGAAAUGCGCUUGGCUUCCGACUUCCGCAAGGGGAGGCAGCUGUUUCUUGUAGUCUUGCUCUGUCACCUACACUGGAAUUCAGUGGCACAGUCUCAGCUCAGCUCACUGCAACCUCCACCUCCCGGGUUCAAGUGAUUCUCAUACCUCAGCCUCCUGAGUAGCUGGGAUUACAGAGACCUGGACUUAAUCUCAGCUGGUGUACAGAGUUCUCUCCAAAAACAAGUGGCCUACUUCACAUUCAGUGAAUUGAUAUAUUCUUAUUUUAAGUUAUCAGCGUCUCACUCUGUUGCCCAGGCUGGAGUGCAGUGGCACAAUCUCAGCUCACUGCAACCUCCACCUCCCAGGUUCAAGCGAUUCUCCAGCCUCAGCCUCUUGAGUACCUGGGAUUACAGACAUGUAUAAUGAAGAUCACUAUGACAGAGAGGAGAAAGAGAAAGGAAAGGAUGACCAGAGAAAUGACCAAAUAUUUAGUGGAUGGAUUUACCUUUCUAGAAUGCUUGGUUGGAUCCUGGAACUGCAGGAAAAAAAGUCCUUGGGAAUUGAGAAGCCAAUGAGAUUAGUCGUUCAAGCUGAAGUCAUUCUAUCUGCUAGCUGUCUGGAGCCACUGAAGCUGUGGGCGAACAGCAACAAGUUUAAGCUACAUCUGCACACUCUGCGGUCCAUCCAGAGACCAAGAAAGAAGCACAAGGAUCCUGCAGAGUCUUCCGAAGCCCAAGCCAAAUAUAUGAGGCAGGGAGCUAGAGAAUGUGGAGGAAGUGGUCAGUAGGAAAAGGAAUGGGAACAGACAUUCUCCUUCAGAAACUUGAGGUCCAGUCCCUGAACUUUAGCUGGCCCCAAAACUUGAGCAAGCUCUAAAAAGCAGAACAUCUCCCACUUAACAGUUUAUUCUGAGAACUGGCCAACCACAGGAGGGAAAAUCAUAUCUCCAGUUAAAGUGCCCUGAUCAUGCCAUCUGCUCAUCCUACCCCCUUUGCCCUGCUCCCACACAAAGUUCCUGCUAGCCCUGUUUACGUCUUCUUUUUUAAACUCUUUUUUUAAAAUUUGAUUUUUAGACAUUUGAAGAUUUCCAUGGUCAGAGGGUCUGUAAUAGUCUUUUUUGAAUAAAGCUGCUCCUUACCUAAAUCCAGAUUUGUUUUCAUUGAAUAUAAUAAUAAAUGACCAUAUU
This 1369-nucleotide long non-coding RNA is filed under the name Homo sapiens (human). Its description in RNAcentral is "HSALNT0329855". Lineage: Eukaryota; Metazoa; Chordata; Mammalia; Primates; Hominidae. The record is from RNAcentral.